GUGGGGAAUUUUGGACAAUGGGCGCAAGCCUGAUCCAGCAAUGCCGCGUGUGUGAAGAAGGCCUUCGGGUUGUAAAGCACUUUUGUCCGGAAAGAAAUGGCCUGGGUUAAUACCCCGGGUCGAUGACGGUACCGGAAGAAUAAGCACCGGCUAACUACGUGCCAGCAGCCGCGGUAAUACGUAGGGUGCGAGCGUUAAUCGGAAUUACUGGGCGUAAAGCGUGCGCAGGCGGCGAUGCAAGACAGAUGUGAAAUCCCCGGGCUCAACCUGGGAACUGCAUUUGUGACUGCAUGGCUAGAGUGCGUCAGAGGGGGGUGGAAUUCCGCGUGUAGCAGUGAAAUGCGUAGAGAUGCGGAGGAACACCGAUGGCGAAGGCAGCCCCCUGGGAUGACACUGACGCUCAUGCACGAAAGCGUGGGGAGCAAACAGGAUUAGAAACCCCUGUAGUCC
RNAcentral lists this ribosomal RNA (450 nucleotides) under uncultured bacterium. RNAcentral's name for it is "partial 16S ribosomal RNA". It matches the Rfam family "Bacterial small subunit ribosomal RNA", at positions 354 to 796 of the family's 1533-position model. The record is from RNAcentral.